Molecule: long non-coding RNA, 1162 nt
Filed under: Homo sapiens (human)
Lineage: Eukaryota; Metazoa; Chordata; Mammalia; Primates; Hominidae
Description: HSALNT0127383
Source: RNAcentral
AAUGGUGCCAGCUCGACCACAGGGUAGAUAAGACACCAUAAGGUCUCACUCUGUUGCCUACAUUGGAGUGCAGUGGCACAAUCAGGGCUUACUGCAACCUUGACUCAAGCGAUCCUCCCACCUCAGCCCACUCAAAUAGCUGGGACUACAGGCCUGCACCACCAGCUGGGCUAAUAGACAAGGCUUCACCAUGUUGCCCAGGCUGGUCUCAAACUCCUGGACUCAAAUAAUCCACCCACCUCAGCCUCCCAAAGUGUCAGAAUUACAGGCAUGAGCCACUGCACCCGGCUGAUAACUUUUCUUUUUCAUAGCUAUUUCGUUCUCUAUUUUGUGGAUGCACCAUAAUUGAUUUAACAAGUCCCCUGUUGAUGGAUAUUUGUUAUUGUUUUUCUCUCUUUUUUUCUUUUCAAUUUGUAUGGGUUCAUAGUAGGUUUAUAUAUUUAUGGGUUAUGUGAGAUAUUUUGAUACAGGCAUACAAAGCCAAAUAAUCACUUCAGGAUAAAUGGAGUGUUCAUCACCUCAAGCGUUUCUUUGUGUUAGAAAUAUUCCAAUUAUACUCUUUUAGUUAUUUUUAAAUGUACAAUAAAUUUUUGUUGACUGUAGUCACCCUGUUGUGCUAUCAAAUACUAGAUUUUAUUCAUUCUAACUAUAUUUUAGUAACCAUUAACCAUCCUCAUUUUCCUCCCCACCCCCACUACCCUUCCUAGCCACCAAUAACCAUUAUUCUUUUCUUUAUCUUCAUCAGUUCAAUUGUUUUAAUUUUUAGCUCCCACAAAUGAGUGAGAACAUGUGAAAUUUAUCCUUCCAUGCCUGGCUUAUUCCAUUUAACAUAAUAUCCUCCAGUUCCAUCCAUGUUGUUGCAAAUGAUAAGAUCUCAUUUUUUAUGGCUGAAUAGUACUUCAUUGUGUGUGCACCACAUUUUUUUUUAAUUUUACUUUAAGUUUCAGAAUACAUGUGCAGAACAUGCAGGUUUGUUACAUAGGUAUACAUGUGCCAUGGUGGUUUGCUGUACCUAUCAACCCGUCAUCUAGGUUUUAAGCCCCACAUGCAAUAGGUAUUUGUCCUAAUACUCUCCUUCCCCUUGCCCUCCACCCCGCAACAGGCCCUGGUAUGUGUUGUUUCCCUCUCUGUGUCCAUGUGUUCUCAUUGUUCAAUUUCCACU